AACGAACGCUGGCGGCAGGCUUAACACAUGCAAGUCGAGCGAAGACUUCGGUCUUAGCGGCGGACGGGUGAGUAACACGUGGGUAACCUGCCCAUCAGAAGGGGAUAACACUUGGAAACAGGUGCUAAUACCGUAUAACAAUCAAAACCGCAUGGUUUUGAUUUGAAAGGCGCUUUCGGGUGUCGCUGAUGGAUGGACCCGCGGUGCAUUAGCUAGUUGGUGAGGUAACGGCUCACCAAGGCCACGAUGCAUAGCCGACCUGAGAGGGUGAUCGGCCACAUUGGGACUGAGACACGGCCCAAACUCCUACGGGAGGCAGCAGUAGGGAAUCUUCGGCAAUGGACGAAAGUCUGACCGAGCAACGCCGCGUGAGUGAAGAAGGUUUUCGGAUCGUAAAACUCUGUUGUUAGAGAAGAACAAGGAUGAGAGUAACUGUUCAUCCCUUGACGGUAUCUAACCAGAAAGCCACGGCUAACUACGUGCCAGCCGCCGCAGUAACAC
Molecule: ribosomal RNA, 501 nt
Filed under: uncultured bacterium
Lineage: Bacteria
Description: bacterial SSU rRNA
Rfam family: Bacterial small subunit ribosomal RNA
Source: RNAcentral